CUCCCAAUCAAGUAUCACUAGAAAAUAUAGUGAUUUGCCGGACUUUAUUGAAUAAAAAAUAAGCUUCAAUAUCCUAGAAUUUAAAAGAAAAUUAAAGGAUUUUGAACUAAUAAAUAAGACUAAAAAUCUCAAAGUUUUCAACUUUUUCAGGUUGUUCACCGCCUAAACCCCCACUCUGUAACCCAACUACUCUCAUCCCAUUCGAAAUUUUUUGCACCCCCCUAAAGCAAAAUCUAAAAAUCCAUCUCUGGAGGGAUUAUAGUGUCACAGUGUGUUAACAAAACUUUACCAAUUAUUCCAUAUCCAUCUAAAAUUUCAAAUUGAUUUUUUGGGUAGGUGCUGUUUUGUUUUUAUCAUGAUAAAACAUAAUUUUCACCAAUCUUACAAUAAGGUAUGUCACACUGGAUAUUUGCAAGGUGAGCAGGUGGUUUAGAUGAAAAAUGUCAAUUUGGCACUUUUUGUGUGGCAACUUGAAUAGCAGAUUGCAUUUAUUUUUCACACAGGAGGGGUUGAGGAUAUCUUUUUACCAGCUAAAUUGUGACCCCCUGGAAUAAAGUUUAUAUACCCCCUUCUCUGGAAUUUCCUAGGAAUUCAUUGCCAGAUACCCCUGGAAAAUGGCUUUACAGUUGAUUUCACAUAACUUUUCCGUGAAUGUUGCGAACUUCGUUCCGAACUUCGUUGUGAAGUUCAAAAGUUCAUACUGAAAUUCACAAGCCGGUUAGUAAACAAAGCCUCUAAUUGGCUUAUUUUUGUUAAGGGACCAAUCAGAGGCUUUGUUUACAAACCGGCUUGCGAAUUUCAGUAUGAACUUUUGAACUUCACAACGAAGUUCGGAAUGAAGUUCACAACAUUCACGGAAAAGUUAUGUGAAAUCAACUGUAAUCACAGACCAUCCCCUGGAUUUGUCCCCGGUCUUUUUCACCCGCGCCCUCCCGCUGGAUUUUCCAGGCCCUUUUUACACCCCUCCCCUGGAUUUUCCAGUGUCCUCAAACCCCCCCUCCCUGUGCGGAUAAUAAAUGCAAUCUUCCAAUAUGGAUCAGGAUACAGCCCCCAACAUAUGACCAAACAAUAGAAUAGUUGAAGGUAAUAAAUAUCAAAGUAGCUAUUCGUACUGGAAAAUAGCACCCGAUUCUUACAUUACGUAAAGUAGUAAUAUAAAACAGUUUUUUGCAACAGCUUUUAGCGAGCUUGCUGCUAGCGCAGUCGGUAAAGGCGCUGCGUGCGUGCAAAGUGAAACGAGGUUUGGUCCGGGUUUAGUUUUAGCCGUCGGUUUUCUGUUGACUUAAAAAUUUUUCUUAAAAUAUUUUUAAUUUUUCCGCCCCACUUUUUAACUCUCAAAUAGUUUAUUAGACCUUUAUUGGUUAGGGUUAGAGAAGGGGUUGGGGUCAGGUUUAUCUUAAAUAUUACGACUGCAGUACGAAUAGCAAAUCGAAGUUAUCAAACUCAGCAUACUGUUCCAGUACGAAUAGCCACGGCAAAUAAAUAUAUUCUGAAAAAUAAGAUCUUGGUUACCAGUUGCCCUUAAAUUGGCAAACAAGCCUGUGGUCUGUACAAUAUUGAUUAUCAAGGUCUUAUAUUAGUUUCAUGAACAUCCAAGCUGCAGUUCACAAGCAUGUGGCCUGACAAUGAGAACAAACCUACCUAAUAAAUUCAACAUUACAGUAGGAUGUUGAAUAGCACAAAUUUAAGGCAGCUCAUUCUUAAAAGAAUAUGUUCAUAUUUGUGAGAUACAAAAAAGAUUUAAAGAGAAAUAUUAUUAACUCAAA
Molecule: long non-coding RNA, 1766 nt
Filed under: Paramuricea clavata
Lineage: Eukaryota; Metazoa; Cnidaria; Anthozoa; Malacalcyonacea; Plexauridae
Source: RNAcentral